Molecule: unclassified non-coding RNA, 213 nt
Filed under: plant metagenome
Description: partial contains small subunit ribosomal RNA, internal transcribed spacer 1, and 5.8S ribosomal RNA
Source: RNAcentral
UUUCCGUAGGUGAACCUGCGGAAGGAUCAUUCAUAAUAAGUGUUUUAUGGCACUUUUUUAAAUCAAUACCCCCCUGGUUUGCAAUGUAAGGGAUGAUUUUUCUCUCGAGAGGGUAAGCCCCAACCAUCAACUUUAACUCAACUCCUUAUCUAAAAAAUAUUAUGAAUAAAACAAUUCAAAAUACAACUAUCAACAACGGAUCUCUUGGCUCUC